This 103-nucleotide ribosomal RNA is filed under the name Caerostris darwini. The record is from RNAcentral. Lineage: Eukaryota; Metazoa; Arthropoda; Arachnida; Araneae; Araneidae.
AACGGCCGUACCAUGCUGAAUAUACCGGUUCUCGUUAGAUCACCGAAGUUAAGCAUCGUUGGGCGCGGUCAGUACUUGGGUGGGUGAUCACCUGAGAACAACA